CCAGCAGCUGCGGUAAUUCCAGCUCCAAUAGCGUAUAUUAAAGUUGUUGCAGUUAAAAAGCUCGUAGUUGAAUUUCGGGACAAGUUGCAAGAGCAUCCGAUUGGAUGCAUCUUGUACACUCAUCCCUACCUUCUGGCAAGCUACGGUGCUCUUCACUGAGUGCCGUAGGGAGCCAGGACUUUUACUUUGAGAAAAUUAGAGUGUUUAAUGCAGGCUUACGCUUGAAUACAUUAGCAUGGAAUAAUGGAAUAGGACUUUGGUUCUAUUUUGUUGGUUUCUAGGACCAAGGUAAUGAUUAAUAGGGACAGUUGGGGGUAUUAGUAUUGAGUUGUCAGAGGUGAAAUUCUUGGAUUUACUCAAGGCUAACUAAUGCGAAAGCAUUUACCAAGGAUGUUUUCAUUAAUCAAGAACGAAAGU
This 417-nucleotide ribosomal RNA is filed under the name uncultured eukaryote. Its description in RNAcentral is "SSU rRNA". It matches the Rfam family "Eukaryotic small subunit ribosomal RNA", at positions 567 to 990 of the family's 1831-position model. The record is from RNAcentral.